This 497-nucleotide ribosomal RNA is filed under the name uncultured bacterium. RNAcentral's name for it is "partial 16S ribosomal RNA". It matches the Rfam family "Bacterial small subunit ribosomal RNA", at positions 28 to 507 of the family's 1533-position model. The record is from RNAcentral.
GAUGAACGCUGGCGGCGUGCCUAAUACAUGCAAGUCGAGCGAACGGACGAGAAGCUUGCUUCUCUGAUGUUAGCGGCGGACGGGUGAGUAACACGUGGAUAACCUACCUAUAAGACUGGGAUAACUUCGGGAAACCGGAGCUAAUACCGGAUAAUAUUUUGAACCGCAUGGUUCAAAAGUGAAAGACGGUCUUGCUGUCACUUAUAGAUGGAUCCGCGCUGCAUUAGCUAGUUGGUAAGGUAACGGCUUACCAAGGCAACGAUGCAUAGCCGACCGGAGAGGGGGACCGGCCAAACGGGAAUGAAAACACGGCCAGGAUCCCACGGGGAGGCGCAAGAGGGGAUUCUUCGGCAGGGGGCGAAGGCCUGAGGGGGCACCGCGGGGGGAGUGAUAAGGGUCUUCGAAUCGAAAAACCUUUUUAUUGGGAAAAAAAAUAUGUGAAGGAAACUGGCCAAUUCUGGACGGUACCAAAUAAAAAAGCCACGGCAAACUACGUC